RNAcentral lists this ribosomal RNA (293 nucleotides) under Limonius californicus. RNAcentral's name for it is "partial large subunit ribosomal RNA". The record is from RNAcentral. Lineage: Eukaryota; Metazoa; Arthropoda; Insecta; Coleoptera; Elateridae.
ACUGUCUCUAUUAGAUUUAUUAUUAAAAUUAACUUUUAAGUUAAAAGGCUUAAAUUUUACUUAAAGACGAGAAGACCCUAUAGAGUUUUAUAGCUUAGUUGUAGGGAGUUUUUGGUUAUUUUAUUUUCUUAUUAUGAAUGUUAUUUGGUUGGGGUGACUUAAAGAUUUAGUAAACUCUUUAAAUUUGAAGUUAUUGAUUUGUAAAUAAUUAAUCUAAUUUUUUUAAAUUUAAAAUAAAUUACCUUAGGGAUAACAGCGUAAUUUUUCUUUAGAGUUCUUAUUGAAAGGAAAGU